This 440-nucleotide ribosomal RNA is filed under the name uncultured soil bacterium. Its description in RNAcentral is "bacterial SSU rRNA". It matches the Rfam family "Bacterial small subunit ribosomal RNA", at positions 258 to 688 of the family's 1533-position model. The record is from RNAcentral.
UAAUGGCCUACCAAGGCGACGACGGGUAGCCGGCGUGCAGAGGGCGACCGGCCCACACUGGGAGUGAGACACGGCCCAGACUCCUACGGGAGGCAGCAGUGGGGAAUAUUGGACAAUGGGGGAAACCCUGAUCCAGCGACGCCGCGUGUGUGAAGAAGGCCUGCGGGUUGUAAAGCACUUUUAGUGGGGACAAAAAGAUACGGAUUAAUACUCUGUGGUCCUGAUUUAACCCAAAGAAAAAGCACCGGCUAACUCUGUGCCAGCAGCCGCGGUAAUACAGAGGGUGCGAGCGUUAAUCGGAAUUACUAGGCGUAAAGCGCGGGUAGACGGUUUUGUAAGUCAGAUGUGAAAUCCUUGGGCUCAACCUGGGAACUGCAUUUGAGACUGCAUGGCUAGAGUAUCGAAGAGGGAAGUGGAAUUUCCGGUGUAGCGGUGAAAUG